Molecule: ribosomal RNA, 847 nt
Filed under: Saccharomyces cerevisiae (brewer's yeast)
Lineage: Eukaryota; Fungi; Ascomycota; Saccharomycetes; Saccharomycetales; Saccharomycetaceae
Description: eukaryotic LSU rRNA
Rfam family: 5.8S ribosomal RNA (bases 393-546)
Source: RNAcentral
UUUGUUGUGUUGGGACUGGAAGGAUCAUUAAAGAAAUUUAAUAAUUUUGAAAAUGGAUUUUUUUGUUUUGGCAAGAGCAUGAGAGCUUUUACUGGGCAAGAAGACAAGAGAUGGAGAGUCCAGCCGGGCCUGCGCUUAAGUGCGCGGUCUUGCUAGGCUUGUAAGUUUCUUUCUUGCUAUUCCAAACGGUGAGAGAUUUCUGUGCUUUUGUUAUAGGACAAUUAAAACCGUUUCAAUACAACACACUGUGGAGUUUUCAUAUCUUUGCAACUUUUUCUUUGGGCAUUCGAGCAAUCGGGGCCCAGAGGUAACAAACACAAACAAUUUUAUCUAUUCAUUAAAUUUUUGUCAAAAACAAGAAUUUUCGUAACUGGAAAUUUUAAAAUAUUAAAAACUUUCAACAACGGAUCUCUUGGUUCUCGCAUCGAUGAAGAACGCAGCGAAAUGCGAUACGUAAUGUGAAUUGCAGAAUUCCGUGAAUCAUCGAAUCUUUGAACGCACAUUGCGCCCCUUGGUAUUCCAGGGGGCAUGCCUGUUUGAGCGUCAUUUCCUUCUCAAACAUUCUGUUUGGUAGUGAGUGAUACUCUUUGGAGUUAACUUGAAAUUGCUGGCCUUUUCAUUGGAUGUUUUUUUUCCAAAGAGAGGUUUCUCUGCGUGCUUGAGGUAUAAUGCAAGUACGGUCGUUUUAGGUUUUACCAACUGCGGCUAAUCUUUUUUUAUACUGAGCGUAUUGGAACGUUAUCGAUAAGAAGAGAGCGUCUAGGCGAACAAUGUUCUUAAAGUUUGACCUCAAAUCAGGUAGGAGUACCCGCUGAACUUAAGCAUAUCAAAACCGCGAAGAAAACGG